UUUUGGGUUGUAUAAACAGUUGUGUUUUAUUAUUAUUUGGUUCACAGUUCACCAGAGACCUGAAGCAAUAUGACAAUAAGAUCGUCGAAUGCACCUUUGUCAACAACAGCUGGAUAUUCAUGAGACAAAGAGUUGACAAGAGCUUCCCCAACUCUUUUGACACAGCCAUGGCUGUGUGUCGCUCCAUUCAGCAUCCUAUCACAAAAGAAAUGCUUUUGGAGUUCCUGGAUAGCUGUACACAGGGAGUACAAACCCCGAACCAAAAACGCCCAGCAGACCCAGACAGUGAACUCAUGCCCCCACCCCCUCCGAAGAGACCAGGCCAGGCCAUCCCAUAGCCUGAUGGUGGACAGCCGGCCCCCCUACAGAUGAGAUCCAGACAUUUCUUACCCUCUGAGUAUUUGCUCUGCCAGCCUUUAUGGACUGAAAUGUCUGAAGAUGUCAGAAACCCCACCAGAGUCCAUCAGCAACAUCAGAUUUACUUGUAGGUUUCUUUGUAGCUUUAAUUACUGGUGUUCUUAUUAA
Molecule: long non-coding RNA, 525 nt
Organism: Thalassophryne amazonica
Lineage: Eukaryota; Metazoa; Chordata; Actinopteri; Batrachoidiformes; Batrachoididae
Exons: 2
Source: RefSeq, a predicted model, not a curated record